RNAcentral lists this small nuclear RNA (164 nucleotides) under Pogona vitticeps (central bearded dragon). RNAcentral describes it as "U1 spliceosomal RNA (ENSPVIG00000014281.1)". It matches the Rfam family "U1 spliceosomal RNA". Rfam says of the family: U1 is a small nuclear RNA (snRNA) component of the spliceosome (involved in pre-mRNA splicing). Lineage: Eukaryota; Metazoa; Chordata; Lepidosauria; Squamata; Agamidae. The record is from Rfam by way of RNAcentral.
ACUCAUACUUUGCAGGGGAAAUACCAUGGUCAUGAAAGAGGGUUUCCCAGGGUGAGGCUCAUCCAUUGCACUUCAGGUGUGUUGAUCCCUGUGAUUUCCUCAAAUGUGGGGAACUCAACUGCAUAAGUUGUGGCAAUGGGGGAUUGCAUUUGUGCUUUCCAUGG